Molecule: long non-coding RNA, 1945 nt
Filed under: Homo sapiens (human)
Lineage: Eukaryota; Metazoa; Chordata; Mammalia; Primates; Hominidae
Description: non-protein coding lnc-ALCAM-8:9
Source: RNAcentral
CUUUCCAGAAAAGCAGGGUGUGUGACUCAGAUUUCCACCCGAAGGUGGUCCUUGAGAGAAGGUCUUAGAUGUUUAGAAGAGGUUAUGUUACAUUCUUUGGUAUCACUUAUUAUUUCCUUCAGGCAAACCACAUGUCAGAGGACUUCAAUCUGAAAAUGACAACCACAGUUUCCUAUUAGACAAGAAGUGACAGGUUACCGUAAUCCAGCUGACUCUAUCCCAUCCUGGCUUUGAUGAAGUAAGCUGCUGUGAUGCAAACUGCUCUCUGGAGAGGUGACAAACCUAAGGCAGGCUUUGGACAAUACCUAGGAAGAAACUGAGACCCUCAGUCCUACAACCUGCAAAGAACCAAAUUCUGCCAACAACCAAACAACCAUAUGAGCUUGAAAGCAGAUUCUUCCUGAGCUGAGCCUUGACAGAAGAAUACAUCUCAUACCUAAGUCUUGAUUGCAGCCAGAUGAGAGACUCUGAAGCAGAGGAUUCAGCUACUCUGUGCCCAGACUCCUGACUCACAGAAACUGUGAGCUAACAAUGUAUGGUAUUUUAAGCCACCAAGUUUGCGGUAAUUUGUUAUGAGCAGUAGAUAACUAACAUGCUGCUACAAUAAUUUCGAUACUUUUCAUUAAUUUAUGUCUUUGAGAAUCAGUCUACAGACAGAAUACAAAGAAGAAUGGAUAUGAAAAUGCAACAGUAUUUUAAGUCUUUUCAAACUCAGCGUCGUGAAAGUAAGAAAUUGGGGUGUGGAGUGGAUGUGGGAAGUAGAGAAGAAAUGGUAGGUAAUAGUGCUUAUAGGUUCAUUUUAUAAUGUGAGGAGUCAGCUUUAUGUAACAAGGAAUAAAGGCGUAGAUCUAUUAUGUAAAUUUACAAAAGGAAAAAAGUGGGUGAAGUAAAAAUAUUAUGAAUAAAGAAGAUGGGAUACUUUGAGUGAACCAAAGUAGCAUUUCUCAGGGAAGGAAGUUAAUAGAAUGCUACAUGAUAAAGCAAUAUGGUAGAAACCUGUUAGUGAGAUAGCUGGAAGUAACUAGCAGUAGAAACAACGACUAGAGUUGAAAGUAGUUGCCUCUUGUCAUAAGAGAAUGAAGCAAUAGGGUGUUAAUUUUCAUUUUCCCUAUAAACUAGGUCAUUUGAAACCUUAUAUAUAUUUUACUUUAAAAAUUAUAAUGAAAAUAAAUACACAAAAUGUGAAUUAUAUUAUUUAAAUCAUAAAUUAGAAACAAAGAGUAUUUGUUAUUUAUUCCAAAAUAUCAAUUCUGGCUUUCUGGCUCACUGACAUUUUCAGGAUUCUCCCCUGCUUUCUAAAUAUUUUUUUGCCUUAUUUUUCAAUUUUGCUGAUGAUACAAAUAAUACAUGUUCACCUUAAAUAAUUUUAAAAAGUGUAAAGACAUUGUAACUAAUAUAUAAUAUCUGACAUUCUACCAUUGUGGAAUAAUUACCAUUGACAUUUUGGUGAAUAUUUUUUCUUGCUUCUAUUUCUGCACCCUUAAAACAUACUGCUAAGUCUAGUCUCGAACUCCUGGUUUUGACAUCUACCAGCCUUAUUUUUAAUCUCAUUUUCAUUAAUGGGAUUAUAUCAUAAUAUCACUUUUAAUAUUGGAUAGAAUACUCUUCCUCACUUCAUAUUUUCCAUCUCUGCUUGUAUAUUUAUUUUGCAUUUCUAAGAAAUUAUGCAUAUUAAUAGACAGUUGUGUGUUGAUUUCUCUAUUGUUUCAUGAUUGUAUAAUUGAGGUAAUGCAUGCAGAUAGUCGAUCUAAAUUUCUAUUACUGAAUAUAAAAAUUUAUUAGUGAAGCAAAUUAAAUACUAUAUUAAUAUAUAUCUACAUAUAAUUCCAUGUAAAGACAAUUUGUGGCUAAGAAGAAAUUAUUCUAUGCAUAUAUGUAAAUUAAUACACAGGUACACUCACAUACACACCAUCUCCUUGACCUGAAAGACAGCAGUCUCAACCAU